Long non-coding RNA from Anolis carolinensis (green anole), 712 nucleotides. RefSeq lists it as uncharacterized. The record is from RefSeq and is a predicted model, not a curated record. The transcript is spliced from 2 exons. Lineage: Eukaryota; Metazoa; Chordata; Lepidosauria; Squamata; Anolidae.
AGAAAACUAUUGCCUUCCUUGAUCUUCUUUUUGGGAAGAAGCUAAUCAAAUAUUUAAAUUCCUAGUAGUUGUCUUAUUUUUUCUCUCCCCUCAUUGGUUGAAAGGAAGAAACUUUAAAAUUAUUUAACCUCUGGAACAAGAUCACAUCAAAUGACUUUCAAGGCAAAUGAACCUCCUUGCUGGAGACAAAGACCAUAGCACAUCUCUAGUCACAAUAACUCUCUUAGCUCAUUUCACUUCACAUUCACAUUGUAUCACUUUCUGCUUGACCAGUUCUUCUGUUAUCUCUUUUAUUUCUUGAAACCCAGGGAAUUAGAAACCUACCAAUCUUGGACUGAGGAAGCACUUUUUCCUGAUAAAUUCUGGAAGCAAACUAUUUUUUUCUCAGAUACAGCAAUAUGUAUAUGUUGGACAACAUCUCAGACAGAUCAACAAAUGGGGUUUAAUAUCUCUGUUAUUCUGCCAUCAAUCAUUGUCUGGAUUCAAACAAGCAUCUACAUCAAGAGGACAUGAAUACUUCUGCAGCAGACCGAUGAAUAAGAGAAAUAAUAGAUGACAGACUGCAUGGAAGAAAUUUAUUUGCAAAAACCCCCCCUGCAAUAUUGAAGUUGCAUUCUCUUGUAAUCUGUAAUUGCUGCAGAAAAUUGGUCCAAUAUAAUAUGUAUAUUAAUGAAUAAAUAGCAAAAACAAAUAAAUAAUAGUAGCAGUUUAA